GAUGAACGCUGGCGGCGCGCCUAACACAUGCAAGUCGAACGAUUAAAGCACCUUCGGGUGUGUACAAAGUGGCGAACGGCUGAGUAACACGUGGGCAACCUGCCCCUCUCAUUGGGAUAGCCACGGGAAACCGUGGAUAAUACCGAAUACUUCGGGACUUCCGCAUGGAAGACUCGAGAAAGCUCCGGCGGAGAGGGAUGGGCCCGCGGCCUGUUAGCUUGUUGGUGGGGUAAUGGCCUACCAAGGCAAUGAUGGGUAGCUGGGUUGAGAGACCGACCAGCCAGAUUGGGACUGAGACACGGCCCAGACUCCUACGGGAGGCAGCAGUGGGGAAUCUUGCACAAUGGGCGAAAGCCUGAUGCAGCGACGCCGCGUGCGGGAUGAAGGCCUUCGGGUUGUAAACCGCUUUCAGCAGGGACGAGGCGAAAGUGACGGUACCUGCAGAAGAAGCCCCGGCUAACUACGUG
RNAcentral lists this ribosomal RNA (467 nucleotides) under uncultured bacterium. RNAcentral's name for it is "partial 16S ribosomal RNA". It matches the Rfam family "Bacterial small subunit ribosomal RNA", at positions 28 to 507 of the family's 1533-position model. The record is from RNAcentral.